CAACCCUCAAGCACUGCUUGGUGUUGGGGUCCUACAGCCUCUGUAGGCCCUGAAAACUAGUGGCGGGCUCGCUAUAACUCCGAGCGUAGUAGAAACACCUCGCUAAGGACGUGAUAGUGGGAUCCGGCCGUUAAACCCCCCAAUUUUCUGAA
RNAcentral lists this unclassified non-coding RNA (152 nucleotides) under uncultured Cordana. RNAcentral describes it as "sequence contains ITS2". The record is from RNAcentral. Lineage: Eukaryota; Fungi; Ascomycota.